Molecule: ribosomal RNA, 274 nt
Filed under: uncultured bacterium
Lineage: Bacteria
Description: partial 16S ribosomal RNA
Rfam family: Bacterial small subunit ribosomal RNA
Source: RNAcentral
ACACGGAGGGUGCAAGCGUUAUUCGGAAUCACUGGGCGUAAAGGACGCGUAGGCGGGUUGGCAAGUCAGAUGUGAAAUCCUACAGCUUAACUGUAGAACUGCAUUUGAAACUGCUAACCUAGAGUAUGGGAGGGGGAGAUGGAAUUAGUGGUGUAGGGGUAAAAUCCGUAGAUAUCACUAGGAAUACCGAAAGCGAAGGCGAUCUCCUGGAACAUAACUGACGCUAAGGCGUGAAAGCGUGGGGAGCAAACAGGAUUAGAUACCCUAGUAGUCC